AUUUCAUUUGACAAGAUUGUUAGAAAAGUAAAUUCAACAAUAUGGUAGACUUGUACACUUUUGGGUGAAAAAUCUUAUGGUUUUCAUUUGAAAGUAGCAUUUUAUCUAGUGUAAACGGUCAGAAUUUGCCGCCCCUAAAAAUUUGCCGCCCUAGGCAGCUGCCUAUGUUGCCUGUUCGGUAAAUCCGCCCCUGGUGAAAUGUUAACUUAUUUCAAUGUUUAGAGUACAUAUUUAAAUAUACAGAGUGAAAAACGUGAACAAAUUUAGUGAAACAUAGAGAAAUACCAUGUGUUAUUAGUGCAAAUUUUUGAACAUUUAAACGUGAAUAUUUAAAAAAAUAUAAGUUAUUUUUAUAUUAUUUUUGGAUAUUCCUCCUCUGGAUAAGUUCCCCUAUACGCACAUACCCCAUUUAUACGGAAAUUCGGUUUUUUUACCCCUCCGCCAAAGUAAUCGGAAUCAUGGCCAAUAACACAUAAUAUUUCACAAUGUUUCACUAAACUUUUUACAUUUUUCAAUUUGUAUUUUUAAAUAUACACUCUAAAGAUAAAAAUAAGUUCAUAUUUAACUUUUAUUUUGUUAUUUUUUAGCUAACUUCAAUAAUUUAAAAAUCACUUAGCACACUCAUCUUUGAAAAAGUAAGAUUGCUUACAAUUAUGAGGAAAACGAGAAUUGCCAUAUCUUAAACACCAAUUAUGAAGGAUUAAACGAUAGCGUUUUCUUUUUUUACAUUUUCGCGUGAUUUUUUUUCUUUAUUAACUACAAACAAAUUCUUUCCAACAUUUUUUCAGCUUCAACUGGACUACAGCUCAAGAAAUAAGGAAUUUUUUUUCUUGAGCAUGUACUUGAGUGCUGGAAACUAACAUUUAUAUACAAAUAUCUCGAAAACUAUAGGUCUGAGAUUGAAAUAAUUGAAACCGUUUUCAAUACGUUUUCGAUGCAGCUGAAUUUACUUGCCGACUAGAUAAAAUACAUUCCGUGGCUAAUAGAUGGCGCUACUUUCGAAAUCAUUGAAUCACAAAAUCGAAAAUAUUUUUCGAAAUCUAUCCGCAUCUAUCGAGCAUUUCGGAAAUAAAUGCUUUUUGAGAAGACACUUUAGAAAACUUGAGCGCUCAAAUGUCAAAGACAAGACUGGAUCGAAAAAGGUAUAAAAAACAUUACGCAUUUAUAGUACUAGUUAAAAGGAAAAUGGUUGAAACUACAAAGCAAAUUUCUGGAACAGGAGGUGGGCCCUUCAACCAAGUAAAUUUAAGUUCCCUCGAAAAGGAGGUAAGUGCUAUACUUUCCUCUAAUACAUCAGUAGAGGGAUUGAAAGGUAUACAAAGUCUUGGAACAUCAACACACAUUUGAAAUGACAUCCCUGGUACAAGUAAGAAGACACCAAUCGACGACAUUUCUUCCCAGCCCCAAAUGCAAAAUGAAAUCAAAUUUGUCGUCUGACCAGCUGUACACCGCACAAGAAACAGAAAAUAAACAAAAUAGGUCUACUUGAGGAGAAAAUAAAUAUCCAAAAAAAUAUGCAGGACAAUGUAUCAAAAGUUCUAAACACGCUUAUGAAGCAACUAGCGAACAUGCACAAGAACAGUCUGAAACAAAAAGAUGGAUUAGAAAACUCUAUGAAAUUGCAAAAGAUAAAUUUAAGGAAAUGAAGCGACAUAAUGCUGUGAGGGAAAAAAUAUCCAUUGAUAAAUUAGAAACCAAAAAAAAAUUAGAACUUGAAUUAUUUUUUUAUUGUAACGUAACAAAGAUAUACAGACAUGUAGUAACAAUAUCAUAGUAAAGGUAUCAUAUUAUUCUGUAUACUGCGUUGGUGACCCACAUGACAAUGUAGUAAACUCAAAUACUAGCUUUGUUUCAUAGGCAUUAAAUAUUUCUAAAAAAUUUUAAACAAUAAAUAUGUUGUGUGUUAUGGAGAAAAUAA
Bactrocera neohumeralis is the source of this 1918-nucleotide long non-coding RNA. RefSeq lists it as uncharacterized. NCBI's taxonomy places the organism in Eukaryota, Metazoa, Arthropoda, Insecta, Diptera, Tephritidae. The transcript has 4 exons. The record is from RefSeq and is a predicted model, not a curated record.